Molecule: ribosomal RNA, 118 nt
Filed under: Xenopus laevis (African clawed frog)
Lineage: Eukaryota; Metazoa; Chordata; Amphibia; Anura; Pipidae
Source: RNAcentral
GCCUACGGCCACACCACCCUGAAAGUGCCCGAUCUCGUCUGAUCUCGGAAGCCAAGCAGGGUCGGGCCUGGUUACUACUUGGAUGGGAAAAAGUUCACAAAAGUUUGUUUCGUCAUUU